UACGAAGGGGGCUAGCGUUGCUCGGAAUCACUGGGCGUAAAGCGCACGUAGGCGGAUUGCUAAGUCAGGGGUGAAAUCCUGGAGCUCAACUCCAGAACUGCCUUUGAUACUGGCGACCUUGAGUCCGGGAGAGGUGAGUGGAACUGCGAGUGUAGAGGUAAAAUUCGUAGAUAUUCGCAAGAACACCAGUGGCGAAGGCGGCUCACUGGCCCGGUACUGACGCUGAGGUGCGAAAGCGUGGGGAGCAAACAGG
RNAcentral lists this ribosomal RNA (253 nucleotides) under uncultured bacterium. RNAcentral's name for it is "partial 16S ribosomal RNA". It matches the Rfam family "Bacterial small subunit ribosomal RNA", at positions 524 to 776 of the family's 1533-position model. The record is from RNAcentral.